RNAcentral lists this unclassified non-coding RNA (38 nucleotides) under Bodo saltans. RNAcentral's name for it is "partial miscellaneous RNA". Lineage: Eukaryota; Euglenozoa; Kinetoplastea; Eubodonida; Bodonidae. The record is from RNAcentral.
ACCAACACAAAACCAAAGAAGAAAGACAAGUUACCAGA